UCCUCGUGGUAACAGUGUGAUGUGAACUGUGUGGUACUGUACUGCACUUGUCACUGUUCAUGGAGUCCGAACAGCUGGAUUAGUACUGUACAUAGACCGUCGUUUUUUGGAGCAGAGGGGCUUGCCUGUGAACUGACCUACUGACCGACUCAUAGAACAAUUAAAACAUUACCAAGAGUCUUACGUUAAUCCACCCAACUGGGGGGGAAAGCUCAGAGGGUACCCAGCUAUGGCACAGUGUGAUGACGUCACCUAUUCUGAACUGGAACUCAACCAAUCAAGUGGCAGAAUGAAGCAGGAAAGGAAAAAAGCUAUGGCACAGUGUGAUGACGUCACCUAUUCUGAACUGGAACUCCACCCAUCGAGAGGCAGAAAGAAGCAGGGAAGGA
Long non-coding RNA from Engraulis encrasicolus (European anchovy), 389 nucleotides. RefSeq lists it as uncharacterized. The record is from RefSeq and is a predicted model, not a curated record. The transcript is spliced from 3 exons. NCBI's taxonomy places the organism in Eukaryota, Metazoa, Chordata, Actinopteri, Clupeiformes, Engraulidae.